GAUCAUGGCUCAGGAUAAACGCUGGCGGCGCACAUAAGACAUGCAAGUCGAACGAACUUAAUCGAUUCUUUUAGAUUCGAAGCGGUUAGUGGCGGACUGGUGAGUAACACGUAAGCAACCUACCUAUUAGAGGGGAAUAACAGUGAGAAAUCACUGCUAAAACCGCAUAUGCCGUGAAUAUCGCAUGGUAAAAACGGGAAAAGAGCAAUCUGCUAAUAGAUGGGCUUGCGUCUGAUUAG
This 239-nucleotide ribosomal RNA is filed under the name uncultured bacterium. RNAcentral's name for it is "partial 16S ribosomal RNA". It matches the Rfam family "Bacterial small subunit ribosomal RNA", at positions 15 to 244 of the family's 1533-position model. The record is from RNAcentral.